CUGAAGCUGAUUCUGGGGUAAUCAAGUUGAGGAUUUAAUCUCCACUCAGACUCUCCUUCACCGCCAGUUUGUCAAUGUCCUCAUUUUCCCUGGACCUUCUUCGCCACUGCCUUCAACCUCAGCUCUUGUUGGAUUACCUCCGCAUUCAGGAAAAUACAGAGAAUCUCACCUUCCUGCUCUCCCACUAUCAAUCACCACCUCGGACGCAGUGGAACUUAGGUCAGCCAGCCUUUGCCAAUACCCUCAAGCCAAGCUCACCCAGGCUAUCAACGCACCUGCUCCAUUCCUGUCGCUACUGUCAAUUCCCAGCUCACUCUCACUGAUCCACGGCCACAUCACUACUCUUUGCUACGAGUUGAUCUGUUUUCUUAAUAAGACAUUGUAAAAGUA
Oreochromis niloticus (Nile tilapia) is the source of this 390-nucleotide long non-coding RNA. RefSeq lists it as uncharacterized. Lineage: Eukaryota; Metazoa; Chordata; Actinopteri; Cichliformes; Cichlidae. The transcript is spliced from 2 exons. The record is from RefSeq and is a predicted model, not a curated record.